CCCCUCUCAGGAUCGCACCUGGGGAGUUCGCAGUACUCCACCAGUCUCGGCUAUGGGAGGGAGAGUCAAGCAGAGGCCUAUUCAUUCCAUUCCUAGUUUGGCUAAUGGCUCGUGAGUGGAAAGCAAUCGGCUACAAGU
Ornithorhynchus anatinus (platypus) is the source of this 138-nucleotide non-coding RNA. The record is from Rfam. NCBI's taxonomy places the organism in Eukaryota, Metazoa, Chordata, Mammalia, Monotremata, Ornithorhynchidae.